AGGACGAACGCUGGCGGCGUGCCUAACACAUGCAAGUCGAACGGGUGAGAGGAGCUUGCUCCUCGAUCUAGUGGCGAACGGGUGAGUAACGCGUGAGAAACCACCUUUCAGUGGGGGGACAACAGUUGGAAACGACUGCUAAUACCGCAUAAUGUGCCGGGAGGGCAUCCUCCUGGUACCAAAGCUUUAUGUGCUGAAAGAUGGUCUCGCGUCUGAUUAGCUAGUUGGCAAGGUAAAGGCUUACCAAGGCGACGAUCAGUAGCCGGCUUGAGAGAGUGAACGGCCACAUUGGAACUGAGACACGGUCCAAACUCCUACGGGAGGCAGCAGUGGGGAAUAUUGCACAAUGGGGGAAACCCUGAUGCAGCGACGCCGCGUGAAGGAUGAAGUAUUUCGGUAUGUAAACUUCUAUCAGCAGGGAAGAUAAUGACGGUACCUGACUAAGAAGCCCCGGCUAACUACGUG
This 465-nucleotide ribosomal RNA is filed under the name uncultured bacterium. RNAcentral describes it as "bacterial SSU rRNA". It matches the Rfam family "Bacterial small subunit ribosomal RNA", at positions 26 to 507 of the family's 1533-position model. The record is from RNAcentral.